RNAcentral lists this unclassified non-coding RNA (355 nucleotides) under soil metagenome. RNAcentral's name for it is "partial contains 5.8S ribosomal RNA, internal transcribed spacer 2, and large subunit ribosomal RNA". The stretch from base 1 to 120 matches the Rfam family "5.8S ribosomal RNA", at positions 35 to 154 of the family's 154-position model. The record is from RNAcentral.
GAUGAAGAACGUAGUGAAAUGCGAUAAGUAGUGUGAAUUGCAGAAUUCAGUGAAUCAUCGAAUCUUUGAACGCACAUUGCGCCUUCUAGUAUUCUGGGAGGCAUGCCUGUUUGAGCGUCAUUAAACCUCUCUCAAGUAUGAUUACUUGGAUGUGAAGGAAGAGUACCUUAAACUUAAGGAGUGUUCUCCUUUGAAAUUGAUUAGCAGAUGGUAAUGUUAUUAAAUCCCUGAUGUUGUAAGAAAUAACAGUGGUUUUGUAGACUAUUAUCUAGCUUUAAAUUAUAAUUUUUAUUAUGGUUGACCUCAAAUCAGGUAAGGAUACCCGCAGAACUUAAGCAUAUCAAUAAGCGGAGGA